GCGGCCGUGGCGGAACGGCAGACGCGCUAGUCUCAGGAACUAGUGGGAGCAAUCUCGUGGUGGUUCAAAUCCACUCGGCCGCA
Molecule: transfer RNA, 83 nt
Filed under: Anaerospora hongkongensis
Lineage: Bacteria; Bacillati; Bacillota; Negativicutes; Selenomonadales; Sporomusaceae
Rfam family: tRNA
About the family: Transfer RNA (tRNA) molecules are approximately 80 nucleotides in length. Their secondary structure includes four short double-helical elements and three loops (D, anti-codon, and T loops).
Source: Rfam by way of RNAcentral